Molecule: ribosomal RNA, 497 nt
Filed under: uncultured bacterium
Lineage: Bacteria
Description: partial 16S ribosomal RNA
Rfam family: Bacterial small subunit ribosomal RNA
Source: RNAcentral
GAUGAACGCUGGCGGCGUGCCUAAUACAUGCAAGUCGAGCGAACAGACGAGGAGCUUGCUCCUCUGACGUUAGCGGCGGACGGGUGAGUAACACGUGGAUAACCUACCUAUAAGACUGGGAUAACUUCGGGAAACCGGAGCUAAUACCGGAUAAUAUAUUGAACCGCAUGGUUCAAUAGUGAAAGACGGUUUUGCUGUCACUUAUAGAUGGAUCCGCGCCGCAUUAGCUAGUUGGUAAGGUAACGGCUUACCAAGGCGACGAUGCGUAGCCGACCUGAGAGGGUGAACGGCCACACUAGAACUGAGAAACGGUCCAGACUACUACGGGAGGAAGCAGUAGGGAAUCUUCCGCAAUGGGGGAAAGCCUGACGGAGCAACGCCGCGUGAGUGAUGAAGGACUUCGGAUCGUAAAACUCUGUUAUUAGGGAAGAACAAAUGUGUAAGUAACUAUGCACGUCUUGACGGUACCUAAUCAGAAAGCCACGGCUAACUACGUG